Molecule: long non-coding RNA, 76 nt
Organism: Diprion similis
Lineage: Eukaryota; Metazoa; Arthropoda; Insecta; Hymenoptera; Diprionidae
Exons: 3
Source: RefSeq, a predicted model, not a curated record
AUUGACCGCGCCUUUUGCGCGUUGACUUGAUACUCUUUGGUUCUGAGAGAAAGCGCGCCAUUUGCAAGUGCUUGCA